Molecule: ribosomal RNA, 534 nt
Filed under: Lamproderma cucumer
Lineage: Eukaryota; Evosea; Eumycetozoa; Stemonitida; Stemonitidae
Description: SSU rRNA
Rfam family: Eukaryotic small subunit ribosomal RNA
Source: RNAcentral
UUGGUUGAUCCUGCCAGUAGUGUAUGCUUCUCCUAAAGACUAAGCCAUGCAUGCCUUCGAAUACGAGGAAGCAAUUCUCUCUGAAUCUGCGAACGGCUCCGCAAACCAGUUGUAAACUAUAGCAAGCAGGCUCGUUGUCGGCCUUCACGGGUUGGCUUCGGGCGAUAUGGAUAACCCUGGUAAUUCUGAGGCUAAUACAUGAACGUAAAACCUGGUAGACUGGGCUCCGGCUCGGGAAGCUGGGGGAUGUGUGAUUGCAGGCUUGGGUAACACCGGGAAAGGGCACACGUCCAGACCGCGCUAUAAAGGAUGGGACCCCUUCGGGGGACCUACCCCAGCGGCUCUUGCUGUGUGCUUCUGACCUAUCAACUAGACGGCAGCAUAAGGGACAUGCUAUGGUGACAACGGGUACAGAGGAUUAGGGUUCGAUCCUGGAGAGUGGGCCUGAGAGAUUGCUCAUACUUCUAAGGAAGGCAGCAGGCGCGCAACGUUCCCCUUGGGCAAUGCCCGAGGGCGUUAGGGGACAUAUGAAUG